GAUUUUAAGUCGGACCUGCCCAAUGAGGUUUUUAAAUGGCCGCAGUAUUUUAACUGUGCAAAGGUAGCAUAAUCASUAGUUUUUUAAUUGAGAACUUGUAUGAAUGGUUUGAUGAAAAGAUUUCUGUCUCUAGGAAAAUUUAUUAGAAUUUUAUUUUUAAGUKAGAAGGCUUAAAUACACAUAGGGGACGAGAAGACCCUAUAGAGUUUUAUAUUUAGAAAAAAAAUUAGUUUUGUGGUUUUAAUAUAUUAAUUUUUGUUUAAAUAUUUGGUUGGGGUGACUAAAAAAUUAAUUGAACUUUUUUUUAAUUUAAACAUUUAUUUAUGAAAGGCUGAUCCUACAAGUAGAUUAAAAGAUUAAAUUACCUUAGGGAUAACAGCGUGAUUUUCUUUAKAGUUCUUAUCGAAAAGAAAGAUUGCGACCUCSAUGUUGGAUUAAAUUUUAUUGCUGGUGUA
Molecule: ribosomal RNA, 455 nt
Filed under: Trigonopterus sp. 461 AR-2022a
Lineage: Eukaryota; Metazoa; Arthropoda; Insecta; Coleoptera; Curculionidae
Description: partial large subunit ribosomal RNA
Source: RNAcentral